RNAcentral lists this ribosomal RNA (761 nucleotides) under Prevotella melaninogenica. RNAcentral's name for it is "bacterial SSU rRNA". It matches the Rfam family "Bacterial small subunit ribosomal RNA", at positions 28 to 776 of the family's 1533-position model. Lineage: Bacteria; Pseudomonadati; Bacteroidota; Bacteroidia; Bacteroidales; Prevotellaceae. The record is from RNAcentral.
GAUGAACGCUAGCUACAGGCUUAACACAUGCAAGUCGAGGGGAAACGGCAUUUAGUGCUUGCACCGAAUGGACGUCGACCGGCGCACGGGUGAGUAACGCGUAUCCAACCUACCCAUUACUGUGGGAUAACCUGCCGAAAGGUAGACUAAUACCGCAUAGUCUUCGAUGACGGCAUCAGAUUUGAAGUAAAGAUUUAUCGGUAAUGGAUGGGGAUGCGUCUGAUUAGCUUGUUGGCGGGGUAACGGCCCACCAAGGCUACGAUCAGUAGGGGUUCUGAGAGGAAGGUCCCCCACAUUGGAACUGAGACACGGUCCAAACUCCUACGGGAGGCAGCAGUGAGGAAUAUUGGUCAAUGGACGGAAGUCUGAACCAGCCAAGUAGCGUGCAGGAUGACGGCCCUAUGGGUUGUAAACUGCUUUUGUAUGGGGAUAAAGUUAGGGACGUGUCCCUAUUUGCAGGUACCAUACGAAUAAGGACCGGCUAAUUCCGUGCCAGCAGCCGCGGUAAUACGGAAGGUCCAGGCGUUAUCCGGAUUUAUUGGGUUUAAAGGGAGCGUAGGCUGGAGAUUAAGUGUGUUGUGAAAUGUAGACGCUCAACGUCUGAAUUGCAGCGCAUACUGGUUUCCUUGAGUACGCACAACGUUGGCGGAAUUCGUCGUGUAGCGGUGAAAUGCUUAGAUAUGACGAAGAACUCCGAUUGCGAAGGCAGCUGACGGGAGCGCAACUGACGCUUAAGCUCGAAGGUGCGGGUAUCAAACAGG